This 7058-nucleotide long non-coding RNA is filed under the name Sus scrofa (pig). RNAcentral describes it as "lncRNA (ENSSSCG00015023338.1)". Lineage: Eukaryota; Metazoa; Chordata; Mammalia; Artiodactyla; Suidae. The record is from RNAcentral.
UCUCCUCAGAAAAGAAAAUCAUGGACUUGGAGAAGAGACUUGUGGCUGCCUGAUGGGAGGGGGAGGGAGUGGGAGGGAUCGGGAGCUUGGGCCUAUCAGACACAACUUAGAAUAGAUUUACAAGGAGAUCCUGCUGAAUAGCAUUGAGAACUAUGUCUAGAUACUCAUGUUGCAACAGAACAAAGGGAGGGGGAAAAAAUGUAAUUGUAAUGUAUACAUGUAAGGAUAACCUGACCCCCUUGCUGUACAGUGGGAAAAUAAAAAAAAAAAAGAAUGACAUAAUGCCAUUUGCAACAACAUGGAUGGACCUAGAGAUUAUACAAAGUGAAGUCAUCCAGACAGAAAGAGACAAAUAUUAUAUGUAGAAUCUAAAUGACACAAAUGAACUUAUUUAUGAAAGAGAAAUAGACUUCCACAUGCUGUGGGUGUGGCCAUAAAAAAACAAAAAUAAAUUAUAAUGCUGUAACUUUAAACUUAUACAAUGUUUUAUGUCAAUUAUAUCCCAAUAAAGCUGGAAUAAAAAUAAAAAUCUUGGGUGGAACUAAAGUCUUUGAGGGAGGAAGUUGGUUAAAGAGAGUAUUCUAGUAACCAAAUAAUGAAAUUUUCAAAUUUCCCAAAGGGAAAAAGUAUAUAACUAUUUGGAACAAGUUAAGUUUGGAAUCAGUGAAAGGUCAUAUGUCUAGGACAUUUCUGAGGAUCAUAGAUCCAUACUGAACCUCAAAAAUGAAAAGUAUUCUAGAGAAAAUGCUGACUAUUGAGUUCAUAGGUGUUCAAUUUCUCUAAGAAAAAAGUGAGAUAAGGAGUCAAGUCAUUCAAUUUCUAACAAGGUUUGCAGUGGUUUGUCUAGUUCUAUGAUUUGUUUAAAUAAUACAGCGUCUUCCCCUUGUUUGGUAAUUGCAAGGAUUAUUAUAGUCUGCCAGAGAUAAAAGUGGUAUUUUACCUGCUGAAUAGAUUGGAUCAGAGUGUGAAAUGCAGGAUUAAAGAGGCUGGAUGCACAGGCAUCCACAUGGUCCUGGGGUGUGUGUUCUAAAGGGAUGCUCAUUCCAUACUUUAUGUCCUCAGAAGAGCUUGGGGACAUGACAAACCAUAACUCUGUAUUAAUAAUGGUAUUUUUCCAUUUUUUUGGUGUUUGGGUUUUUUGUCUUUUUGUAAAUAUCUCUGUACCUGUCUUAUCCCUGAUAUAUUUUUUAAAAACUGAACAUAACUCAAAGGCAUCUUUUUUUCAAUCCAUAAUCAUCCUAUUGGAACAACCAUGCAUAACUCAUUCCGAAAAUAUUCUUUCGCUCACUCUAAGUUAGGACUAAGUUAAUUGAUGCCACCUUCCACCUUUGCCCUCCACAGAAUCCUAUUUUACUAUUUUACAGCAGUUUGUCUAGUAUACUGUAAAUAUCUGUUUACAUGUCUCCCUCCCAGGUAAACUUUGAAUUUCUGGACUGCAGUAUCUAAGUUAAAAGAAAAAAAAAUCUUUUUCUUCUCUGUCCUUGUAACAACAUUUCGUCUUCAGUAAAUGAUGAAUGCGUGAAUAAAUGAGUCACCUACUUUCACCUAAAUGUUCUCAAUGUCCCAUUAUUCUCAGUCUAUAUACUUCUCUCUACACGAGUCCUUUGUUUUCUUCAUCUGAAUUUUUGCUCCUGCUUUGUCAUCUGUAGUAGGUAGAAUUGUGUCCUCCAAAAGAUAUGUCCAAGUUCUAGGCCCCUGUACUUGUCAAUGUGACUUUAUGUAGGUAACUAAGAUAAGGAUUUCAAGAUGAUAUCAUCUUGAAUUAGGUCGUUUCAAAGAGGAAUUACACUGGACAAAUUAAAUAGGCAGAGAAGACUUCAAGUCUUGCAGUAGGGGAGAGAGAUACAAUUUAACUCCCCUGAAACAAACAACAGGAGGAUUUUUUGAUGCUGCAGUGAGCUAGUGGAAAAUUACUGGGAGAUGUUAGAGGAGAGGCUGGUCAGUGUAAUGAGGUCAUCUGUGUUUCCUGUCACCUGAGUCAGAGCCCUACUCUCCCACAGAGACUGGAAGAGAGGAGCACUAUCUUGAUGGCUCUCAGGUUCUGGAGAAAGGUGUUUCUGGAUUCAAAAAACUGUAAAAAGGCUGAAGAAGAGAACUAAUUUAUAACUGCAGGUUUUCUAAAUAAAUGCUCUAGGAAAAGGGAGAUCAGGGGCCUAGAGUCAGGAAGAAGCCUGUUGAAGCUUUAGUCCAGCUUUAGCUUUAGGAAAAGUUAAAGCUCUCUUGGUCUUAUGUGAGCCUUAAGUGCACAGUGUUCUUGUGUCCUUAUGUGAGACAGAAAAGAAGAAGACAUAUAGAGACACAGAAGGAGAAGGCAUGUGAACACAGAGACAGAGACAGGAGCAAUGUGUCUAUGAGCCAAGAAAUGCUAAGGAUUUCUGAAAGCCACUAGGAAUGAAGAGAGGCCUGGACUUCAUGCUCCCCUGAGCCUUCAGAGGAACUAUCCCUGCCACCACCUUGAUUGAGGACUUUAGUACAAUGAGAUAAUGGAUUUCGUUUUUUUGUUUGUUUGUCUUUUUAGGGCCGCGCCCAGCACAUAUGGAGGUUCCCAGGCUAGGGGUCAAAUCAGAGCUGUAGUUGCUGGCCUAACAACAGCCAUAGCAACACCAGAUCCGAGCCACAUCUGCGACCUAUACCACAGCUCACAGGAAUGUUGGAUUGUUAAACCGAUGAGCGAAGCCAGGGAGCCUGCAUCCUCAAGGAUACUAAUCAGAUUCGUUUGUGCUGAGCCAAAACAGGAACUCUCUGGAUUUCUGUUUUUUUUUUAAAGCCUACCAAUUUGUCAUAAUUUGUUAAGGCAGACCUAGGAUUGUAAUACAUCUUCUUUCCAGAAAGUUUUUUCUCUAUUUCCCAUUUAAUUCCAAACAUUAGAAUUGAAUACCUCAUUUAAGCCUCAUCUUAAUUGUUUUGUCUUCCAUUCCAUUCUCUCUUAAUUUUUUCUUUUCUUCUAUUUCAGAACCACCAAAAAGCCAUGGUUUAUUCCUCUGGAUUUUUAAAUAAUGAUAAUGUCAAGGAAGGAUAGUAUGGCUGAAAUUGGUGUAGUAUUCACUCCAUCAAGCAUGCUUUAUGUCUUAUCCCCCCCUUUUUUCGGCCAUGCUCACAGAAUGUGGAAGUCCCCAGGCCAGGGACUGAACCCACAGCACAGCAGUGACAACACUAGGCCACCAGGGAACUCUCUUUUAUCCUAUUUUAGUAUUAUAAAAACAUAAAAAGGAAAGCAUUUUUCUUUGUAUUAAAAAUAGAGACACUGUGGAACAGUUUGAUUAAAUAAUACUAACUCGUAGGAUAAAACUUUAAGAGAUCAGAGUCCAGAACCUGUUUCUUAACUAUCUUACUACAUUUAUCUGUUUAUGUCAUUGAAUAUUUAACUCUCUUAUAUCUCACAUUGUCCUAUGUUGUAUUGUCUCAUAUUAUAGUUAUUUAUGUACUAUUCUAGUACAAAUUAUUCAAUUGAGAUAACUAGAAAUCCAAGAUGCACAAUCAUAUCCAUCUAAUGUUCCCAUUUUAAAGGCUUGCUAAUAUUAUUUAUAUUAUUAUACAUUUCUUUAAACUUUUAUAAUUCAAGAAGGAAUUUGAGGUACCUUGCUUGAACACCUUUAACCUUUAACCAAUUUAAAAGUUCUAUUGGGAGUUCCCGUCGUGGCUCAGUGGUUAAUGAAUCUGACGAGGAACCAUGAAGUUGCAGGUUUGAUCCCUGGCCUUCCUCAGUGGGUUAAGGAUCUGGCGUUGCUGUGAGCUGUGGUGUAGUUCACAGAUGUAGCUCGGAUCUGGAGUUGCUGUGGCUGAGGCAGAGGCUGGUGGCUACAGCUUCAAUUAGACCCCUAGCCUGGGAACCUUCAUAUGCCAAGGGUGCGGCCCUAGAAAAGGCAAAAAACAAAAACAAAAAUAAAUAAAUAAAUAAAAGUUCUAUCGCAUUUAUCUUUUCACAGCAUUUAGCACGAUUUUUUGAAGAUCAGAAGUGCCCAAAUUUUGUUGAAUGAAUAUAAUUAACCCAGGUCUUGGCCCCCAGCUGUCCUCUAAUUCCCCAGCAUUCUAGAAUCAUAUUUUCCUUUAAUAUUUUAAAAGCAGGGCUAGGGCUCCUAUUCUACAUACAGUGGGAAGUUCAUUGCUCUUCUGCCCCACAAAACUUAUGAAUCUUAUAGGUUAGGAGAGGGCGCCAUAUAUUUUCCCUGGUCACUUGUCACCUGAGUUGUUUUCCUUUGAAUCCCUGCUCUUAGCUCCACUCUAUGGCUUAUCUCCUGAGAUUGUCAUCCUUGUGCUAUAUUAGACACUGCUCUAGUGACAUAAGCAUGUGGGGUUAUAGACUCUUAUUGAUGGCCUGGAAUAUAAAGGGGAUUAAAGUACAUCACAGCUUUCAGUUAUUCACCCAAUAAUUCCCCAAACAUUCAUUCAUUCACUGUCUAGUGGCCCUGUGUUGGGUACUGCAGAGACAAGGAUAAGCAAACAAAUACAAGUCUCUACCAUCAUUCAGCUCAUAUUCUAGUCAGGAAGACAAAACUCAUACAGGUACACAUAAAUGUAAAGUUACAACUGAGGUAAGUGUGAUGAAGGAAAGGCCCAUGGUAGAUUGAGAGCUAUGGUAGUGGGCUUGACUGAGAAACUAAAGGAUAAGUAGGCAUUAACCAUCUCUACAUAUAGAGAGGGAGAGGCAGAGGACAUUGGAGAAAGGGGCGACAGCACGUGCAAACAAAUAGUAGUCAGGUGGAGCAAGGCACAUUAUGGCAACUGCAAGAAACUCCAUGUGUUAGGAAUGUGUAGACCUGGGCCAAGAAGGGAGAGAGAAGUCAGUGUGGAGAAGCCAUGAAAGCCACUUAAAGAAAUGCACAGUUGACAUCAUGCUUCCUCAACAACAUAUAUAAUCUUAAUCCUAAAGUUAAGGGAGAAUUAUUGAAGAGUUUGAAGCAGGGGAUUGACAUGAUCCAAUUUGUAUUUUGAAAAAGAAAUUUUUUUUGGCUACACUGUAGAGAUGAGAAAACAAGUAAGGCAUGGUGGAUGCAGGGGUUAUAAAGGAGGAGGCCUUAGUCCAGGGUAAGAGGUAAUGGUUUGGGAUUAGGAAAAUGAUGGUAGAGAUGAAGCUAAAUGGAAGGAUUUGGGAAGUGUUUAGUGAGGCAUCAAGCAAGAAGAUGUAGUGAUAUAAGAAGCAUAGGAUGUCAAAUAGGGUAUAGGAAGCAGCUUGAAAAAAUGUGUAUUAGACAUUAUGCAUUAAAAACUAAUCAGGUUUUUUUUGAAUAUGGAAAUUCUCCCCAGCUAUAUCUAUCCUUAGGCUCUUUCCUAAGAGCUUCUCCUUUAAACCUGCUGUCUUUCCUUCAAAACCAUAUUCCAGCACACCUUUCAGGGUCCUGGGGCUGUGUGUGGCAGUGACCCCAGUGGGCAUAGUAUACUUCAAGCUUCCUCUAGCCUUUCAUAUCCUAGCAUCUCAUUUGCUGCUGACCAGCUGUAAUAGCUAUAUCUUCGAGAAGAUCACCUUUGUAUUAUUUUCUAGUUCUCAUUCUAUAUGUCAUGCCCUUCCCUCAAAAAUGUCAGUUUUAGUAACUCAAAAUGUCUCACAGAAACUGAAAGCUAAUAUGUAGUCGUCUACACAGAGUAAGUUUUUCACAUUAACAAUAUAGAAUCAAAAUGCUUAAUAACAAUGAUUUGCAAAUCUAUAUAUUCUGGGGAGGAAGAAUAUCUCUACCUAACAUUGGCUCUGUUCUUGUGCUCUUUUAAAGGAAACACUCUUCUUUGCCAGAACGUCCCUUGUUUCCACAUCCAGAUUUUUUCACCAAGGUGGAUAAAGAGUUGGCAAGAAUCAUUGACCAUCACUGGCAGGAAGAGCUAAAGAUCCGACAAAAUGAAGACGCAAUAUGUGAGGCCGAAGAACGUAAAAAUAAAGAGUUAGAGGAGAAAAGGCACCUCAGAGAAAUUAUGAAGAGAAGAGAAGAGAAACUGCACAAGCAAACCAAACCCUAUGAGCUUCCUCCUAGGACUGAAGUAAUUUCAUCAGAAAAGAAAAUGACCCCUCAAAACCGAGGUCUAUAAGCCAGAAAUUCAUUGCAUGCAAGAAACCAAGAUAGUUACAAGUUAGGAAAAAAAUUCUUAAUUAACUGUAAGCCAUUUCUUAGAAAGGAGUUGUUAUCCUAAUGCAGGCUCUUUAAGAGUCCUAUCUAGUCCCAAAUUAACAGUUAGCCCUUAAUAUUUGAGUGAAGCAUUUUGCUAGUUAAAUAUUUUUAAGAAUAUGGCUAGAGCUUUUCCUGGUUGACUCCUAUCUUGUGAUCCUACACAUACUUGAUGAUUCUUGGAGUAUUGACACUCAUUGGACUGUUAGAUGGAAAUGAACUGCAAAUUAUUAAUGAGUCAAAAAUAAAAGGAGUGAACAUCAACUGAUGCUCCUAUAACAACUGUUAUACAAAUAAAAGAAGUAAGGCCUCUUUUUGAAUUUGUGUUUCAUAGUCAAUCUAUGCUAAAUCAAACCAUAUGUCAGAAGCAUGAAUUCGAUAAAUUACUCUAUAUAGACAAAUAUGGACAGGCCAGUCAUCUCAGGGUGAAUUCAUCUUUAACAGAUACCAAAGGAGUCUUCUGAGUGACAGUGAGUUUGCUUUGGCAGAUAAGGUGGUAAGAAUGGAUUUGUAUGGUCCUAGAAGGUAUUUGCACUUACUGGAGGGAUUCAUCAAGUCAGGGAUCAUUUUAAAAUUGACCUUUCACUUUUUCUGAUACUCUCUAUCCAUGGGUUAGAGUAAUGGAGUGGGGUUCUUAUGAUACCUUACACUCGUUUUCUAAAAAAGAUAAAUAAUCACAGCUCACUUUUGCACAAGUGACUUGGUGAUAUUCGAGAGACAAAAACUUUAUUGGGAUGUCAAACUCAAAUGACUUCCAGGUCAGAAAGGUAACAUAACAUAAAUUAGUGAUGGGGCAAAAGAAUACAAGUCUACCCAAAGAAACUUUCCACCACUUGGCUGCACUGCAGUGUGCGUCCAGUGGUGUUGGGGGCAUCCAGCCUUUUAAAAAGAAGCCCUCCAUCUUUUUAAAAAUAAAAGUUGAUAAAUUUCAAAAUGUUGGCAACUGAUUUUUCUAAAAAAAAAAAA